CAGGUUCUGAGGGACAGGAAGAGGAAAUGAUGUCAUCAGUAGGCAGGUUCUGAGGGACAGGAAGAGGAAAUGAUGUCAUCGGUAGGCAGGUUCUGAGGGACAGGAAGAGGAAAUGAUGUCAUCGGUAGGCAGGUUCUGAGGGACAGGAAGAGGAAAUGAUGUCAUCAGUAGGCAGGUUCUGAGGGACAGGAAGAGGAAAUGAUGUCAUAGGG
This is a long non-coding RNA of Erpetoichthys calabaricus (reedfish), 212 nucleotides long. RefSeq lists it as uncharacterized. The transcript has 3 exons. The record is from RefSeq and is a predicted model, not a curated record. NCBI's taxonomy places the organism in Eukaryota, Metazoa, Chordata, Cladistia, Polypteriformes, Polypteridae.